CCUACGGGAGGCAGCAGUGAGGAAUAUUGGUCAAUGGACGAGAGUCUGAACCAGCCAAGUAGCGUGAAGGAUGACUGCCCUAUGGGUUGUAAACUUCUUUUAUAUGGGAAUAAAAUGUUCCACGUGUGGGAUUUUGUAUGUACCAUAUGAAUAAGGAUCGGCUAACUCCGUGCCAUCAGCCGCGGUAAUACGGAGGGUCCGAUCGUUAUCCGGAUUUAUUGGGUUUAAAGGGAGCGUAGGUGGAUUGUUAAGUCAGUUGUGAAAGUUUGCGGCUCAACCGUAAAAUUGCAGUUGAAACUGGCAGUCUUGAGUACAGUAGAGGUGGGCGGAAUUCGUGGUGUAGCGGUGAAAUGCUUAGAUAUCACGAAGAACUCCGAUUGCGAAGGCAGCUCACUGGACUGCAACUGACACUGAGGCUCGAAAGUGUGGGUAUCAAACAGGAUUAGAUACCCCAGUAGUC
RNAcentral lists this ribosomal RNA (460 nucleotides) under uncultured bacterium. Its description in RNAcentral is "partial 16S ribosomal RNA". It matches the Rfam family "Bacterial small subunit ribosomal RNA", at positions 338 to 795 of the family's 1533-position model. The record is from RNAcentral.